Molecule: ribosomal RNA, 254 nt
Filed under: uncultured bacterium
Lineage: Bacteria
Description: partial 16S ribosomal RNA
Rfam family: Bacterial small subunit ribosomal RNA
Source: RNAcentral
CACGUAGGGGGCAAGCGUUGUCCGGAUUUAUUGGGCGUAAAGAGCUCGUAGGUGGUUCGGUAAGUCAGGUGUGAAACCUCCAGGCUCAACCUGGAGACGCCACUUGAUACUGCUGUGACUGGAGUCCGGUAGGGGAGCGUGGAAUUCCUGGUGUAGCGGUGAAAUGCGUAGAUAUCUGGAGGAAUACCGGUGGCGAAGGCGGCAUCCUGGACCGGCAUUGACGCUGAUGAGCGAAAGCUAGGGGAGCAAACGGG